Manis pentadactyla (Chinese pangolin) is the source of this 1361-nucleotide long non-coding RNA. RefSeq lists it as uncharacterized. The record is from RefSeq and is a predicted model, not a curated record. Lineage: Eukaryota; Metazoa; Chordata; Mammalia; Pholidota; Manidae. The transcript is spliced from 2 exons.
ACGUCAUGACUUCAAAAAUUUUGGCACAUUUGGCAUGUUCGGCUGAACUAAUUUAAAGGCACUAAGCCGUGGUCGCCAUGGUGCUCCAUUCCCACGAAGUGCAUGUCACUACGUUCUUAAAGGCAACUCCGUGCAAUUGCAAAAAAAAAAAAAAAAGUAAUUCAGAAGCAAUGAAAACAGAAUGGAGAGUACACUCCGGCGAUGUCUCACAUUCUAACUAGUGGUGCGAAGUUGGAACCAGGUUGUGCAGUCACAAGAAUGGCAAGAUUCUAGCAGUGGCUCUUUUUCCACGGCCCGAGGACCCCAUCAAGGUCUGCCCUGCAUCUCACACCUCCAUGACCUCCGACUCCCCAGUAUCUCUGAAAGCACGGGCCUCACAGGGCCUGGCUCUCCUCUCACCGUCACUGCACUUAUACUGGCAGAGCCCGUCCUCGCCCCCCAGGAGAUCCAAGGCGGCGUUCAGGUGCCACAUGUUCCAGGUUUGCUGGGCUGGGAGAAGAUGCUGGUUUUAAAACAUGCCACAAAUUCCUUGACACCCUUCUAUCAAAAAAUGGAUUGUAUUUCCUCCCCUUGAAGGUCAGGUUUUUUUUGAUGGAAGUGAGGCUAAAUGACUGCCAGGGCUGGGCCGUCUCUGCACGGUCUUCUGGGACAUUUGUCAGCUGCUGUGUAAGACGUCUGGCUGCCCUGAGUCACCAUGUUGAAAAGCGACAUAAAGAGAGAUGUCCAGAAAGCUGUGUGAGUUCUCCUGGCCCAGGCACCAGACAACAUAAUAAAGAAGCCUUCAAGAUGACGUCUGCCUCAGCCCUGCCUGAGGGAAACUACAUGAAAGGAAGGAUGUAAGAACUGGCCAGCUGAGCCUGGACAAUCCCCAGAUGCCUGAGCAAAGUAAAACAGCCAUUAUUUAAAUCAGUUUUUUAGCAUUCUGUCUUACACAGCCAUUGAUAGCCAAAUACUCUCUUGCAUUCAGUGAAAAAAGGAAUUAAAAAUAUGGGCAGCCUGGGAGGGGAGGAUGAGUUACUGUUUAAUGAGUGCAGCCUUUCAGUUUAGGAAGGUGAAAAUUUUCUGGAGAUGGAGAUAGUUGCGCAAUAAUGUGAAUGUACUUAGUGCCACUGAAUAGUACACUUCAAAAUGGUUACAUUUUUGUUACAUAUAUUGUACAAAAAUUUUUUUAAAAGGAAAAAAAUCUGGGCAGUAGCUGAUUUUGGAAUAUGUGCAGAAAUGAGCAUUUCUAUUAUUACAACAAUUGGCUUCUAUCUGGGAGUGGACCCCAGGUAUUGAAUGUAAUAUUUAUGUGAAAAAUAUACCUCUGUCUUCAGGAUGAUAGCUGAGCUUUAAAAAAAUAAAUUAAUGAAGAUAUCAAA